AGUGACGAUAGCCUAGGAGAUACACCUGUACCCAUGCCGAACACAGCAGUUAAGCCCUAGAACGCCUGAAGUAGUUGGGGGUUGCCCCCUGUUAGAUACGGUAGUCGCU
Molecule: ribosomal RNA, 109 nt
Filed under: Streptococcus suis
Lineage: Bacteria; Bacillati; Bacillota; Bacilli; Lactobacillales; Streptococcaceae
Also listed under: 1 other name
Source: RNAcentral